AAUGACACAGUCUACUGUUUUGAAGAGUGCUGUGUAUGACUGACUGAGCUAAAAGGAUUGCUGGCUAUGAGUGAGUUUUAGUUUUAGAAUUCAUUUUCAAAGACUCACAAGGCUCAAGAAGCUUGAAAACCACAGAUGAUGUAUACAGUAGCUGGAGUUCCCUGGAGGCUCCUUUCUAGGGUCUCUCAUUUGAAUUGGUGCAGAACUGAAAGCAGAGAGUCAGAAAGUAACUCUGCUUGUAAAAAUGGCUUAGGAAAAGGAACUUAAGAUUGUGGGUUAUAUGUGUGUAUGUGUGCACACACAUGUAUGUUUCCUGAAUUCUAACCUGAAAAUAUCACAUUUGUGGAUACUUAAAAUACUCAUAUGCAUUUUGAUACACAAAAGCAAUUCAAAGUAUGUAAAAGGAGGCUGGAAAUGUAAGCUUAACAGUGAUAUUCUGGAGAAAAAUGUUGUAACUGUCACUCCAGGCCUCCCUUAGGAGAAACCAAACUUGUCAGAUAUUUUGGAAUGGUAGCUCUUUUUCAGGAAUUAGAAUAACUGAAGUAUGAUACUGUGUUCCGUGUGCUUUAAAAUCUGUGACCCUCCCCUGUUGCUGGUCAUAGCUUCAGCAUUUGAGUGUCCAUUGUCUGUCGCUGAGGACAUUUUCUCAUCGGCUCUUUUCCCCAUUGUCCCAUUCCUCUCACUCACACCUGAUUACCAAAUAGCUCUAACGAAAUCACAGUCACUCCUUCCUGUGUUUCCACCAUUGUGUACAUCUUCAUUUGCACACCCUAUUUUUUAAUCAAAGUUAAAGCCUCACCAACAAGGUACUUAGAACAAUCACCCACUUCUGGCCACUUCGUGACGGGAAAUACAUCUUUGCAGGGGAAGGAGCUGGAUCAGACUGACAGGGUUUCACUCAGACUAUUUCAAACAAUGAGGAGCCUUGACCUCAUUCCCAACUUUUGCCGUCCAUAGUGGUUGAUUUCUUGUUUUCUCUUUCUCUCUUUUUUUAACAGAAACUCUUAAGCUCAAGGCUAAAUUACAGUGGGGACUUGCCUUUGUCUACAGUCCAUGGUUUCUGUAUUGGCUCAAGCCUUGAAAUCUUGAAACAAGCCUAAAUUAAAAUUUUCUCUUAGCUUAAGAAAAAAAGUUACAUAUUGUCAAGACCCUUAUGUGUGUGGUCCAUUAAAAAGGUCUUGAUAUUAGAAGAUAACAGCAAAUUGUUUCUUAUCCCACAACAGCUUUGCCUUUCAGUGUCCUUUGUGGUGGUUUUCGUAGGUCAGUGGUACAAUUCAACACUCUUCCAAUAAGCCAUAAUAAUAAUUGUUGGCACAACUGUUAUUACAACAGGACUUGCCUGGGUUCCAUCUAUUAAUUUUUACAGACAGUAGGAAGCUCACACCGAGGAGACAUUGGUAACUUCCUGGACAAGGGCAAAGAAAGGAACUAGCAUAUUGUACAUACUGUGUACGUGCACAGAACACUGGUCUGUGCCUUUGGAGUGUUCUCAGAGGGGCAGGCCAGAAGGGAGGAUUCAGGUAGGAAAUGAAUCUAGGACUUCUCUUGCCUUUGAUGGUUACUGAUGGCAAUUGUGUUUCCCACUGAAUAACUUGGUGGACAAUUUUGAUAGUAAACUGAACUCAUACCGAGCAAGCACAAUAGUCAAUCCAUAAAGAAAAGGGUGGCAUAUCAUAAUGCCAGAAACCUUGUCUCCCUAAGAGGUGAUCAUGAAUUUCCUAUACAGGGCAAAAAAGGGAAGAAUAGCCUAUUCAUAUUCUGUAUUCACAGUUUGAAGGACCCAUCACAAAUGACCUUCAAAGACUGACAGGGGGCAGGUAGAAGGGAGGCAAAAAUGCAGAGAAAAAGAUGUUACCUUGAAAAAUGAAGUAAGAAAUCCUAAUAUUCCCGUAGUUGAUCCUAAAGUUUGUUCCCAUGUCUACGGUUAUUUCUAAAUAACUUCACUACACUUUGAAAUUCCUUAGUGGUGGUUUAUCAGUAAUACUUAACUGAAUUUUUCCGUUUCUAUUCUUUGCUGCCAAUGAAUGUAAUCUCCACGACUUGCCGUUCGAGUGCACGCACAGACACACACACAUAAUGGUAUAUGCAUCAUAUAUUACUCAUUUUGUGGGAAACACAAUGUAUUAUAAUGAAAAAGAUUCCAGCACAUUCUUUCAGUGUGUUUCAGUGAUAAAAUUUUGUGGGGGAAUAGAGGUAUACAUACUCUCUUUGCUGACCAUAUUGUUGAAAUUAUGAUCUUAAGCAACACUGUUAGAAAUGCUUGCAUAAAGUAUCUUCUCUAGUAUUAAUGAGUUGAUUCACUCUGAAUUGAAGGUUCAAAAAAAUGCACUAAACAAAUAUUUUUAUAUCUGUGGUAUUUUCCUAUUAACUACUCUUAGUGAACACGUGACCAUAUACCUGAUAUCAUUAAAAAGGAAAAUGGCCUAAACGAAACGUUAAAAGUGGAGGUAUUUAUAAAGUCUUCUGCCAAAGACCAUUGUUUAAUGAUCUGUAAAAUGUAGAUUAUCUUCUUUUAUUAUGAAUGUGAUUGUAAGAAACACCCUAACAUUCUCUAACUUUUGAAAAUGAAUAUUUUGUAUUUCUAAGGACCAAGGAAAAUAUUUUUUAAGCCAAUGUAGUACACAGAAGCCUUGUAAAUGAGAGGUACAAUGACUUGGAUCAACUGCAUAAUGCUAGAUUAGAAUUCCAGCAUUUGAUGAUAAAUUUAUCAAUCUUUCCUAUAAUUCUUAUACUGCACUAAAUUACAUUUUGGAAAUUUUAGCUAAUCUUUUCAAAUUAAAGGCACCAACAUUAAUGACAGAUCUUCUCUAAUAUGAAAAGCAUCAAAACAUUCCCUUUCAAGCACUUUGAAUGGAUGAAAAUUGCCAUAUAAUUUUCCCACCUACCUAACCAUUCCAUGUAAGUUAACUGAGCAGUCUAACAAUGUUGUACAGAAGGUUGACAGACUAUGUGCACCAAGAAUAUUUAAGUUGUGCAGUUAGCAAGAACUAGCCAUUUCAAAUAUACUCAAAUGUUUUGUAAAUAAAAAUUUUGACUCCUAUAAUUUUGUUCAAACUGAUGUCUUUUAAAAUAAUUAGAUUUUAUUUGAAUUUUAAAAGUAAUCUGUUGUAAAUUAGAUGUUACUUUGUUGACUCUGUGAUUCAAUGUACACUCAGCCAUAUUCCUGUGGGGAAAUAUCAAUCUUACUGACUUUCAUGGCAUGAGCCAGAGAUUCAUAGUUUCCUUUAGGACUAUAAGUAUGAAGACAAAACACACCAAAAUAAAAUGCUAGUGAAGAAAUUAGAAACCUAUUGUAUAAAAUGUAUUUUUAAAAUCUUAAGAUAUAUGUGAUUUACACUGCCUGUUAAUCUAGUCUCUUUGUGAUUAAAAAAAAACAUAAUAUUUGUUAAGACUCAGACACCAAAUAUUUGUGAUGUUUGUAUAGCACCAUCGUUAUAUGUGAUUUCAAAGGGUAAGCAUCUCUGUCGUAAUCAUGUAAGCCCACAGAAGAAUAAAUUCCUGAGGUUAUGUACAACCAACUCUCAGAAUUCAGACUUCCUGCAGCUGCCAUAUCACCAAUAAAUGAGAAUUGUGAAAAACAAUUUUUAAAG
This 3590-nucleotide long non-coding RNA is filed under the name Homo sapiens (human). RNAcentral describes it as "non-protein coding lnc-THUMPD2-2:1". The record is from RNAcentral. Lineage: Eukaryota; Metazoa; Chordata; Mammalia; Primates; Hominidae.